RNAcentral lists this small RNA (161 nucleotides) under Chelonoidis abingdonii (Abingdon island giant tortoise). RNAcentral's name for it is "TUC338 (ENSCABG00000012715.1)". Lineage: Eukaryota; Metazoa; Chordata; Testudines; Testudinidae. The record is from RNAcentral.
UGGGACCUCUGGAAACUGAGCUCCUCUUUUGACCCCAGAGGAGGUAGAGCAUGGACAGCAGCAAUGCAAGCUCCUCCCUUACCAUCACACUCUUGUGCCAGGAGGCAUCCACCUCUAUAGGGAAAAGGGAAUCUUGUCACUGUGGCCCAUUCAGUCCUCAG